This 449-nucleotide ribosomal RNA is filed under the name uncultured bacterium. RNAcentral's name for it is "partial 16S ribosomal RNA". It matches the Rfam family "Bacterial small subunit ribosomal RNA", at positions 329 to 794 of the family's 1533-position model. The record is from RNAcentral.
UUCCAGACUCCUACGGGAGGCAGCAGUGGGGGAUAUUGCACAAUGGAGGAAACUCUGAUGCAGCGACGCCGCGUGAGGGAAGACGGUCUUCGGAUUGUAAACCUCUGUCUUUGGGGAAGAAAAUGACGGUACCCAAAGAGGAAGCUCCGGCUAACUACGUGCCAGCAGCCGCGGUAAUACGUAGGGGGCAAGCGUUAUCCGGAUUUACUGGGUGUAAAGGGAGCGUAGACGGCGGCGCAAGUCCGGAGUGAAAGCCCACGGCCCAACCGUGGGACUGCUCUGGAAACUGUGCGGCUUGAGUGCGGGAGGGGCAGGCGGAAUUCCUAGUGUAGCGGUGAAAUGCGUAGAUAUUAGGAGGAACACCGGCGGCGAAGGCGGCCUGCUGGACCGUAACUGACGUUGAGGCUCGAAAGCGUGGGGAGCAAACAGGAUUAGAUACCCCUGUAGGA